Molecule: ribosomal RNA, 382 nt
Filed under: uncultured bacterium
Lineage: Bacteria
Description: bacterial SSU rRNA
Rfam family: Bacterial small subunit ribosomal RNA
Source: RNAcentral
AGCGAACGCUAGCGGCGGGCUUAACACAUGCAAGUCGAGCGCAUCUCCUUCGGGAGGUGAGCGGCGAACGGGUGAGUAACACGUAGGUAACGUACCCUCUGGUGGGAAUAACCCAGGGAAACUUGGGCUAAUACCGCAUGUGCCCUUCGGGGUGAAAGACUUCGGUUGCCAGAGGAUCGGCCUGCGGCCCAUUAUUUAAUCCUAGUUGGUAGGGUAACGGCCUACCAAGGGUACGAUGGGUAGCUGGUCUGAGAGGAUGAUCAGCCACACUGGGACUGAGACACGGCCCAGACUCCUACGGGAGGCAGCAGUGGGGAAUAUUGGACAAUGGGCGAAAGCCUGAUCCAGCCACGCCGCGUGAGUGAUGAAGGGCCUCGGUUGU